This 330-nucleotide transfer RNA is filed under the name Saccharomyces cerevisiae (brewer's yeast). Its description in RNAcentral is "transfer RNA-Gln". The stretch from base 99 to 170 matches the Rfam family "tRNA". Lineage: Eukaryota; Fungi; Ascomycota; Saccharomycetes; Saccharomycetales; Saccharomycetaceae. The record is from RNAcentral.
GAUCCAUUGCUUGCGAUAUUGUUAAAAUAGGGACCAUCUUUCUUAAAAAGGUUCCAUAAAACCGGAAGUUUUAGUGUACACUAACAACAGAAGAAAAAGGUCCUAUAGUGUAGUGGUUAUCACUUUCGGUUCUGAUCCGAACAACCCCAGUUCGAAUCCGGGUGGGACCUUCCCUUCAUUUUUCGUAUUUUACGAAAUUUAAACCAUCAUUUUUUUUUUUUGAACCAAUGCGAGAAAAAAAUAAAAAGAGAAAGGUAAGAAAAAGAAACCAACCUCUAUACAGAUACAAUCGCUCAUCUCGAUAUACUUAUUUUUACAUACCAGAGAUAU